GUCGAGAAUCUUUCACAAUGGGGGCAACCCUGAUGGAGCGACGCCGCGUGGAGGAUAAGGUCUUCGGAUUGUAAACUCCUGUCAUGCGUGAACAAGGUUGCUUGGUUAAUACCUGGGCAAAUUGAUGGUAACGCAAGAGGAAGAGACGGCUAACUCUGUGCCAGCAGCCGCGGUAAUACAGAGGUCUCAAGCGUUGUUCGGAAUCACUGGGCGUAAAGGGUGCGUAGGUGGCGUGGUAAGUCAGAUGUGAAAGCCCUGGGCUCAACCUCGGAACUGCAUCCGAUACUGCCAUGCUAGAGUACUGGAGAGGUGACUAGAAUUCUCGGUGUAGCAGUGAAAUGCGUAGAUAUCGAGAGGAAUACCAAAGGCGUAGGCAGGUCACUGGACAGUUACUGACACUGAGGCACGAAGGCCAGGGGAGCGAACGGGAUUAGAUACCCCUGUAGUCC
This 449-nucleotide ribosomal RNA is filed under the name uncultured bacterium. Its description in RNAcentral is "partial 16S ribosomal RNA". It matches the Rfam family "Bacterial small subunit ribosomal RNA", at positions 354 to 796 of the family's 1533-position model. The record is from RNAcentral.